AUGCCUGUCGUUCCAAUCGUCUCCAUUUUGUUCAGUUUCUCACGCUAUGUCAUUACCAAGGUUUGUUAUCCUUUUAACUUCCCAAUGACUUUCAUCCUUCUUUCUCCUAUAAAUUCACUUGCAGGCAGUCUUAGAUUGCACAAAUCAUCUUCGGUGUUAGUUGUAAGAUUGCAUAACGACCUUAUUGAGUUUUUUGUAACAAGGAUUGAUUUCAAGUUUAUUUUUGUGUGUCGAUCAUCUUAUUCAUUUCCAACGAUUUACCUCCUCCUCUCUUUAUUUUGGACUUCAGAAAGCUUGAAAUGGUCUCAUCUUCGAUAA
Non-coding RNA from Vicia faba (fava bean), 318 nucleotides. NCBI's taxonomy places the organism in Eukaryota, Viridiplantae, Streptophyta, Magnoliopsida, Fabales, Fabaceae. The record is from the annotation of a GenBank genome assembly.